CCUACGGGGGGCAGCAGUGGGGAAUAUUGCACAAUGGGGGAAACCCUGAUGCAGCAACGCCGCGUGAGUGAAGGAGUAUUUCGGUAUGUAAAGCUCUAUCAGUAGGGAAGAAGAAAGACGGUACCUGACUAAGAAGCCCCGGCUAACUACGUGCCAGCAGCCGCGGUAAUACGUAGGGGGCAAGCGUUAUCCGGAUUUACUGGGUGUAAAGGGAGCGUAGACGGCUGUGCAAGUCUGAAGUGAAAGCCCGUGGCUCAACCCCGGCGAGCCGUUGAAACUGGCGGGCUGGAGUUGGAGAGAAGUACGCGGAAUGCGCGGUGUAGCGGUGAAAUGCUUAGAUAUCGCGCAGAACCCCGAUUGCGAAGGCAGCGUACCGGCUCCACACUGACGCUGAGGCACGAAAGCGUGGGUAUCGAACAGGAUUAGAUACCCGUGUAGUC
This 440-nucleotide ribosomal RNA is filed under the name uncultured bacterium. Its description in RNAcentral is "partial 16S ribosomal RNA". It matches the Rfam family "Bacterial small subunit ribosomal RNA", at positions 338 to 795 of the family's 1533-position model. The record is from RNAcentral.